GACGAACGCUGGCGGCGUGCUUAACACAUGCAAGUCGAACGGAAAGGCCCUGCUUUUGUGGGGUGCUCGAGUGGCGAACGGGUGAGUAACACGUGAGUAACCUGCCCUUGACUUUGGGAUAACUUCAGGAAACUGGGGCUAAUAUCGGAUAGGAGCUCCUGCUGCAUGGUGGGGGUUGGAAAGUUUCGGCGGUUGGGGAUGGACUUGCGGCUUAUCAGCUUGUUGGUGGGGUAGGGGCUGACAAAGGCGUUGACGGGUAGCCGGCCUGAGAGGGUGGCCGGCCACAUUGGUACUGAGGUACGGCCCAGACUCCUACGGGAGGCAGCGGUGGGGAGUAUUGCACAACGGGCGGAAGCCUGAGGCAGCAACGCCGCGUGCGGGAUGACGGCCUUCGGGGUGUAAACCGCUUUCGCCUUUGACGAAGCGUGAGUGACGGUAAUGGGUAAAAAAGCACCGGCUAACUACGUG
RNAcentral lists this ribosomal RNA (468 nucleotides) under uncultured bacterium. RNAcentral's name for it is "partial 16S ribosomal RNA". It matches the Rfam family "Bacterial small subunit ribosomal RNA", at positions 28 to 507 of the family's 1533-position model. The record is from RNAcentral.